This is a long non-coding RNA of Astatotilapia calliptera (eastern happy), 552 nucleotides long. The record is from Ensembl. Lineage: Eukaryota; Metazoa; Chordata; Actinopteri; Cichliformes; Cichlidae.
UUUGGAAGAGGUUUUGUCUCUUUCGUUGACGGUAGAGAACUCUGCGUUGAGGCUUCUAGUCAUUAUAAUCUCUGUCCGCUAUUAUUUGCACGUAACACUUGAUACACAUUACAGGCGUGCACAACUUAACGUAUCAAAACGGGGAAACGGCAAUACUAUCCCACUGUGGACAUAGUUGAGUCACGAUCGGUCCUGGAACAUACGAGUCCGAUGUCACCUUCCUGAUCCGCAGCCAUGCAGCCCGCCUCCUCUCCUUUCUCCUCCUCACUGUGGUCACUCAGAGCCCUGUCCCAGCCUCCAUCUUCAUCUUCAUUACUAUCAGCAUGUUGACUCUGGGGUGGUGGUUGUGCAACAUCCUGUCACUGCUGGGAUUCUUUCUGCUAUGAUGGGUCAUUGGAGUCUAACUGCCAAACAGUUACAUUUAUUUCUGUAUCUCAAUAAAUCAUGUUCGUUUUUUCCACAUGAUCUCUCCUUAUUGAACUGCUUUUGUAGAUAAGCUUCAAGCCAGAAAGCAACAAUACCUAAACCAAAAAUAUUAUCAUCAGAAGUGAG